Molecule: long non-coding RNA, 1041 nt
Filed under: Sus scrofa (pig)
Lineage: Eukaryota; Metazoa; Chordata; Mammalia; Artiodactyla; Suidae
Description: lncRNA (ENSSSCG00025062057.1)
Source: RNAcentral
CUUAAAUUCUUUGUUUUGCACGGCUGACACGUCUUGAGGGUGAGGGACCAUGUGAUGUGACUUGGUACCCCUUCCGUUUCUCACCCAGUAUUAGAUUCAUGGUGGGCACUGCGGAAAUUCAAGCUUCGGGACAGUUGUCCCUCUUCCCAUCAAUUCGUCCAGGGGCAGGAAGCCUCCCAGAACUUCAGAAGUGUUGGAUGCGGACAUGUACGGCCUCAUCAACCAAAGACAGAAUGCUGGCUACCUUUUGGACCUCACAGGAUAUUUUUGGAAAAAAAUCCUGGAAUGGUGAAUGGAAAAAUGGCAACCUAAGAGCAAGGCCCACCAUUGAACAGCCAUGCACAGGCGUGUUUGUUUCUGAAAUCCAAUCUCAGGAGUAUAAACCUGGAAAAAUAUAGUUUCUCUUUUUUCUUACACUGUGUCAAUCAUUUGUAAGACAUCAGAAAUUAAUUACCCUUUUUAUUUUCGAAUUUCUCUGAAAUUGUGAAAGGAGAACUGAGUGAAAUAACAACAGUCCUGCUAUCUGGCAGAGGAUAAAACAUGAUUUCAAGAAAAAUCACAUCCUUAAAAAAUGCCAGCAUUAAAACAAUGCCUCGACUCGGACGGAGACACAGUUUCUCCCAGAUAAACAAUUUCAUAGAUUUGACCGCCCUCCCAUUCAUCAUUUUCUUGGGUUGUGUCUACAAAGUGACGAUAAAUAGAAAACCAUGUCAGCUUUGCAACAAAAUACAAUUUUCUAGAAAUAAGUUAAAAAACGAGGGAAGUUUCUUGUGUACUUUCUUUUUGCCAUAAGUGACACCAUGCAAGUCUUUAGAGUUUUACUUACUUCAUGUUUCAAUAUAUUUACCACUGAGUACCUGUUGGUUCUGCUUUUACUUAAUUGAAAUAGAUUUUUAAACCAUGUUCCUGGAUUGGGAAAAUCAAUAUUGUAAAAAUGGCCAUACUACCCAAAGCAAUCUACAGAUUCAAUGCAAUCCCUAUCAAAUUACCCGUGACAUUUUUCACAGAACUAGAACAAACAAUCCAAACAUUUAUAUGGAA